UACGUAGGGUGCGAGCGUUAAUCGGAAUUACUGGGCGUAAAGCGUGCGCAGGCGGUGAUGUAAGACAGUUGUGAAAUCCCCGGGCUCAACCUGGGAACUGCAUCUGUGACUGCAUCGCUGGAGUGCGGCAGAGGGGGAUGGAAUUCCGCGUGUAGCAGUGAAAUGCGUAGAUAUGCGGAGGAACACCGAUGGCGAAGGCAAUCCCCUGGGCCUGCACUGACGCUCAUGCACGAAAGCGUGGGGAGCAA
RNAcentral lists this ribosomal RNA (248 nucleotides) under uncultured bacterium. RNAcentral's name for it is "partial 16S ribosomal RNA". It matches the Rfam family "Bacterial small subunit ribosomal RNA", at positions 524 to 771 of the family's 1533-position model. The record is from RNAcentral.